AAAAAAGUCUAUAAAGACUUUGAAAAAGAAAAAGGAGUCAACCAGCCCAUAUGGUAAUACGGGGGGCUGCGUUCUGAUAAUACUGUAUUGGUUCUGUCAAAAGACUGGAAAAAUCAAGCCAAUAUCUGGAAGGGAGAACGAAGAUCAUGGGAUGAGAAAAUGGGACAUCCAGAAGCUGAUACAGAAUUGGACAAGUUUUAACAGCUUGAAAAAACUAGAGAAAAUCUUUGAAAACCUGAAGGAGGAUAGAGAGGAAUCAGAAUCCGAGGAAGAGGAGAAUAGAUCAGAUGAAGCAAAGACAGUUCCGGAAGGAGAGGA
Molecule: long non-coding RNA, 318 nt
Organism: Rosa rugosa (rugosa rose)
Lineage: Eukaryota; Viridiplantae; Streptophyta; Magnoliopsida; Rosales; Rosaceae
Exons: 3
Source: RefSeq, a predicted model, not a curated record